This 433-nucleotide ribosomal RNA is filed under the name uncultured bacterium. RNAcentral's name for it is "partial 16S ribosomal RNA". It matches the Rfam family "Bacterial small subunit ribosomal RNA", at positions 29 to 507 of the family's 1533-position model. The record is from RNAcentral.
AACGAACGCUGGCGGCAUGCCUAACACAUGCAAGUCGAACGAGACCUUCGGGUCUAGUGGCGCACGGGUGCGUAACGCGUGGGAACCUGCCCUUAGGUUCGGAAUAACUCCCCGAAAGGGGUGCUAAUACCGGAUAAUGUCUUCGGACCAAAGAUUUAUCGCCUUUGGAUGGGCCCGCGUUGGAUUAGCUAGUUGGUAGGGUAAAAGCCUACCAAGGCGACGAUCCAUAGCUGGUCUGAGAGGAUGAUCAGCCACACUGGGACUGAGACACGGCCCAGACUCCUACGGGAGGCAGCAGUGGGGAAUAUUGGACAUUGGGCGAAAGCCUGAUCCAGCAAUGCCGCGUGAGUGAUGAAGGCCCUAGGGUUGUAAAGCUCUUUUACCCGGGAUGAUAAUGACAGUACCGGGAGAAUAAGCUCCGGCUAACUCCGUG